Monodelphis domestica (gray short-tailed opossum) is the source of this 2904-nucleotide long non-coding RNA. NCBI's taxonomy places the organism in Eukaryota, Metazoa, Chordata, Mammalia, Didelphimorphia, Didelphidae. The record is from Ensembl.
UUUCAAUAACACUAUAUUUCAAUAUAAUUAUUUUCUUUUAUAAUCCUAAUUUUUUAUUUAAAAAAUUUUUUUAAAACCUUACCUUUCAUCUUAGAAUUGAUACUGUACAUUGGUUCCAAGGCCGAAAAAUGGUAACUUGCCAAGGAAAUAUCCAAAGCCAGAUUGGUAUCCAGGACCUCCUGUCUCUAAGCCUGCUGCUCCAUCCUCUGAGCCACCUAGCUGUACCCCCUUUAAUUUUUUUUUAAUUUUAUACACUUAUAAAACAUUAUUCUGAAGGGGUCCAUAUGCUUUACCAGUUUGCCAAAGGGGUCUGUGACCACUAAAAAGGUUAAGAACUCCUGAUCUAGUCUAACUCCCUCACUUUAUAGAUGAAGAAACAGAAACUCAGAAUGGUUAUCACUUGCUCAGGGUCAUCCAGGAAAUUCUUUAGUGAUAGAGAUGGGACCAGAACCUUAGCCACCUAACUCCAAGUGCCACUUUCCUUUCUCUACAUCUCAUUGCCUGGCCAAGCAACAAGAAGGCAGAGAAUUUGGACUAUGGGGGAACACAAGCCUGUGCGGUCACAGGCCAAAUAAUUACUACAGUAUUAGCUUAUGUAAGUGGAUAGGAGGCCAAUGCCAACGUGUGUUUAUGUUGCAGAAUGUAGCAAAAAGAAUCUCUUCUGGAUGAACCAGUAUGCCUCCAAAACAGAGCAGCCUGUUCCAAAGCAAUCAUCACCACAUGUCCAGUUGUACCACAAAGAGAACAGUGGCCAAAGGAAAUUUCCCAGAGAAAGAAGUUCAUUGAGUAGUGGAUCAUGGCCAGAUAUGAAGAGGAAAUGGAUCUCAUUUUUGGUGAGAAAGCCUUGUAUUCUAUAUUUUCUUAGCUGACACAGUGUGUCAAUGAUUAUAAGCUACAUUUUGAAUUUUAAAACUCUUCUAUUAUUAUAUUUUUCUUGCAUGUGCAAUAUACUAUUUCAGUCUUUUAUUUUUUCUCUCCUUUUUAUAUUUGAAGUACAUGUCACCAGUAUUAAGAUUUUCUUUAACUUUUUUGAUUUUGCAGUAAUAUAAGUUUACAUACAUUUGCUGAUGCAUGCCCCCAAAGCUUAAGACUAUAAAAAUGAUGCCACUAAUUGUUUUUUAAAAAUUAUGGGACUUUGCUUAAUGAUUCUGUCUGAUUCUAGGACAAGAUAUACAAAAGAGCCAUUGCACAGGGCCAAUGAAGCACAAAGCUAAACCUGAUUAGUGCCACAAAGAGCACACAGAAUAUAUUAGUGUGAAGACUCAAGGUUGCGACACUUAACAUACGUUAAGACGUAGGCCUUCCUUGUAUCCACACUACUCUGAAAUUACUUACAGACGAGUAUCCCAAACUGUGAAUUUCAAAACUAUUCCACCCUAUUCAGACCAUUCUUUACAAGAUCGGAUUUUGCUAUUUCCUGAUCAAUAACAAUAGAGAUACUUGGAAUAACAGAAUCAGGUCUUGGAAACUACAAUCUCCACCCUACUCAGGGUAACAAGAUUAGGAAGGGCUGCAGCAAAACUCAAGAUUUAAUUAUUUUGAGAAUAUGGUCUUCAACAGACAUGUGCAAAAAAAGACAGACCUCUGGGCGGUCCUAGGUCAAGCUAGAGCCACCAUUGGCACAUGUGAGAUGCAGGAAGCAAGGUAGAGAACAGCCUCUGGAGUUCUUGUGACUUCCUAUGAGGAGGGCUAGAGGGAGUUGGAGGCUGGUGUUUGGAGUUGGAGGAGCCUGUGGACUGUUUUUCUCCAGAUUGGUCAUAUGAGUGAUAGGGAUUGAUCUCUUUCCUUGCCUUGGCUAUCCAGGGCCUUAAAGCCCGCUUUGGCUCAGCCUAAACAGAGUGGAUAUUUAAAACCUCUUUCCUUCUCUCCCCUUUCCUUCCCCCGCCCCUCUCUCCCUACUCCCCUCUAAUACUUUCUUCUUCCUGUUUGUAAUUAAACACCAUAAAAAAAAGUUGGCAGCUGACUUGAGUGUUUCAUUUAGGAAUUACAUAAGUGAAUUCCUUGGCGACCUUAAAUUAAUAUAUAUCAGUCUUUUAAAAUGAUUUCACUAUCACAAAACUUGGCUCCUACUUGGCUUCUACAAUCUGGUCCCUUUGCUGUCUUUCAUAGUGUGGCAAACUUUCUGUAGUUCUGGCUACUGACUGGGUAAAUGUUUACUUGCUUAUAUCAUUUUAAUUGGGCCCUGAUUCAUGGACCUGUUAUAGAUUUAUUUUUCCUUUACUUAGACUUUUUACACAUAAGACUUUGAUAGUCUAUAUUUUCAUCCAGAAAUUAUCUUUUUUAUUUGGAUUUUUCUGAUGUCUUUUUAAUUUCUCUUGCCAAUUGAUUCAUAUACCUCAUAACUCAGCCAUGAAUCCCUAAGUGAUCCCUGUGUUUUUCAAUCACCCUCUUCACAGGGGAAUGUAAAAAUAUUAUUAUUGUUAAUUGCAAAGUUUAAAUUCCUUUUGAGAAGAAUUUUAGGUUAAGAAACAUGCUACCUCUCCGAAUCCAGAAACUGAACUGUUUGGAGAAGGCACCAUGAAGAUGCCUCCAGACCACAAGCUGCACAAGAAAAUCAAGAAUGAACUUUGGGUGUGGUUGAUUGAACAUUUAUUUGUAGGUAUACUUUCAUGCCAAAGGGGACUGCCCCCUAACUGGUUUUUUGUCAAUGCAUCUAGCAAUUAUUUGUUUUGUUCUUUUCCUCUUAUCCUCAAAUUAUUGUAAUCUUUAAGUUGAUUAUGUUUCCAUGAUCCUUUUGUAUCAUUAACACAGCUUAACAGUUUGACAAAUGCUUGCUGACUGAUUGAUUGAAGCCUACAGACCUGAAUUUAAAUCUGUGUGACCCUUGACAAGUCACUCUACUCCCAAUAUGAGUUUCUUCAUACAAAAAAUAAAGGGGUUCCACUAGAUGAUUGCUAAUGUUGC